Molecule: ribosomal RNA, 255 nt
Filed under: uncultured bacterium
Lineage: Bacteria
Description: partial 16S ribosomal RNA
Rfam family: Bacterial small subunit ribosomal RNA
Source: RNAcentral
CGGACGGGUGAGUAACGCGUGGAAAACCUGCCGUAUACUGGGGGAUAACACUUAGAAAUAGGUGCUAAUACCGCAUAAGCGCACAGCUUCGCAUGAAGCGGUGUGAAAAACUCUGGUGGUAUACGAUGGUUCCGCGCCUGAUUAGCUAGUUGGUGGGGUAAUGGCCUACCAAGGCAACGAUCAGUAGCCGGCCUGAGAGGGUGAACGGCCACAUUGGGACUGAGACACGGCCCAAACUCCUACGGGAGGCAGCAG